UUCAUCUUAUAGCAGCUAGCACUGAAAGUUGAAGACCUGUUCGUGUGGACUAGCUAGAGGUGCUGCCGUCGUGUGGUGCUUGUGAUCAACGAAUAGAAGCAAAGAGUUUGCUGUUUCAGUUCACCAAAAGGUAUAACGUUUAACCCUGAUCAUGACCAUUCGCAAGGAUCCAUUGAAGGAAAAAUUUAAAAUUCCGCUGCGUUUUACACUCUGUUUUAAACACGAUUUUCCUUCAA
This 236-nucleotide long non-coding RNA is filed under the name Trifolium pratense (red clover). RNAcentral's name for it is "long non-coding RNA (TPRA_LNC006037)". The record is from RNAcentral. Lineage: Eukaryota; Viridiplantae; Streptophyta; Magnoliopsida; Fabales; Fabaceae.